Molecule: ribosomal RNA, 37 nt
Filed under: Fusarium redolens
Lineage: Eukaryota; Fungi; Ascomycota; Sordariomycetes; Hypocreales; Nectriaceae
Description: partial 28S ribosomal RNA
Source: RNAcentral
GAUCAGGUAGGAAUACCCGCUGAACUUAAGCAUUCAU